UACGUAGGGGGCAAGCGUUGUCCGGAAUCAUUGGGCGUAAAGGGUGCGUAGGCGGCUUGGUGGGUCUGGUGUGAAAGCCCCGGGCUCAGCCCGGGAAGGGCGCUAGAAACUGCCGAGCUCGAGUGCCGGAGGGGAGAGUGGAAUUCCCGGUGUAGCGGUGAAAUGCGCAGAUAUCGGGAGGAACACCAAUGGCGAAGGCAGCUCGCUGGGACGUUACUGACGCUGAGACGCGAAAGCGUGGGGAGCAAACAGG
This 253-nucleotide ribosomal RNA is filed under the name uncultured bacterium. RNAcentral's name for it is "partial 16S ribosomal RNA". It matches the Rfam family "Bacterial small subunit ribosomal RNA", at positions 524 to 776 of the family's 1533-position model. The record is from RNAcentral.